UACAGAGGGUGCAAGCGUUGUUCGGAAUUAUUGGGCGUAAGGGCAGGUAGGUUGUCCUAUAAGACUUCUGUGAAAUCCCUGGGCUUAACCCAGGAAGUGCGGAGGUGACUGUAGGACUAGAGUGCUGGAGGGGUUCGUGGAAUACCCGGUGUAGCGGUGAAAUGCGUAGAUAUCGGAAGGAACAUCAGUGGCGAAAGCGGCUUCCUGGACCAGUACCGACGUUCAGGCACGAAAGCGUGGGGAGCAAACAGG
RNAcentral lists this ribosomal RNA (252 nucleotides) under uncultured bacterium. RNAcentral's name for it is "partial 16S ribosomal RNA". It matches the Rfam family "Bacterial small subunit ribosomal RNA", at positions 524 to 776 of the family's 1533-position model. The record is from RNAcentral.